RNAcentral lists this unclassified non-coding RNA (1578 nucleotides) under Hevea brasiliensis (rubber tree). The record is from RNAcentral. Lineage: Eukaryota; Viridiplantae; Streptophyta; Magnoliopsida; Malpighiales; Euphorbiaceae.
GGCUGGUCAAAAAUUUAAAUAUUGUUUAUCAUUCACGAAAUGAUGAAAAAGUACAUUAAACUUGGAGGAAUCACUAAACGAUUUCCUAGUCCUUGUAACAGUAGCAAACAAGAAAUACAUUACAGAAUCACUAAACGAUUUCCCAGUCCCUGUAACAGUUGCAAACGAGAAAUACAUUACAGAAUGUGCACAAGCUCAAGCUUCCAAUGCUCUUUCAAAGCCAAUCCUGCUGCUGCAGCUUCAGUGGCAAAUAAACUUCAGACAAGUACUGAAACCCAAAGGAGCUCAAAGCCUGAAUCUCAGCCUUCUGCUUUGUCUUCACCAUCAAGCUCAACUCCUCAACCCAUCCUGGAUUCUUCUUCACAAAAUCCUCCUCCAACAGAUCCUUGCCGGUCUUAAUAUCCUGCUCAGUCAUCGGCAACCUGCAUUGCUCCGGUAUCUUAUAUUUAUCGAGAUCACUCGGCCUAAUCCCCAGCCACUUGAUAUCAGGAGUAGUCAAAUUUGCACUAUCAUAUGACAUAUUCUUGGAACCACAUCCAUACACUGACAAAAUCUUCAACCCAUAAGGAUCACUAUCCACCAAUGCAAGAACCGGCAAUUUCAGUUCCAUCUUCAUCUUCCUCAAGAACAAUCUUGUUGCUACAUCUGGUUGUCCCUUGGCUGUCACAAUAAUACAGGGAAAACGAUUAUAGAAUCUAUCCUCCGCCAGCCUAAUAUAAGCUGCAUCCUUCUCCACCAGUAGUAUGAACAAUGCAUCACUUUGCAUAUCUCCGACCCUAUCAAUAUUGGGGGGAAUCGCUUUCCCUCCCAUACCCAUUUUAGUACAAUCAAUCAUAUCCCCAUUGUCGCUAAAAAUCAACCUCCCAACCACCACCCCUUUCUCCGCUGCGAUCACGUUGAGAGAAGAUCUGGUGCAGCCCAGCAUACACGAAACGUCAUCAAGAACGGCAUCGGAUUGGGUCUGGUCUUGGAAGAGCUUGACGUCGGUGUAGAAGAGGUCUCGCUUUGUGACGUGGAUGCUUCUAAGGCAAAGUUGGUGAAUUAGAGAGAGAAUUUUGGCGGUGAUGGUGGAUUUUCGUACGGAGGAGUUGUUGGCAAAGGGACGGAGGGUAUUCUUGUCUUUCAAAACGAUGCGGUCGAGCUCCGGGACAUACAGCUGGUUCGUUGCGGCGCGUGAAGGGACGUUAAAGGAGAAGCCCCGGCCGGAGAGGAUGGAGUGGGUAAGGGAGAGGAUUAAGGAUUCGAUGGCGGAUUGGACGGAGAGCAGAGAGAGGUCGGUAACCUCGCGGCACGCGGAGGAGAGGGAGAGGUCAGAGAGGGUUAAGGGCUUGGAGGAAGUGGAGGAGGAGGAGGAAGUGGACUUUAAGAGGGAGUGUAGGGAUUCAAGGAUUACUGAAUCGGGCUUCAGGCGGUUCUUGAAAGGAAGUUGGAGUUGGUCGGAGGAGGAGGAAUCCGGAUCGGCUCGGCGGCGUUUCUUGGCCUUGGUGGUGUCGGCCAUUUGUGGGAGUUGGUCGGAGGAGGAGGAAUCCGGAUCGGCUCGGCGGCGUUUCUUGGCCUUGGUGGUGUCGGCCAUUUGUG